GAUGAACGCUAGCGGCAGGCCUAAUACAUGCAAGUCGAGGGAGAAUGUUGGAUUCGUCUGACAUGAAACCGGCGCACGGGUGCGUAACACGUAUGCAACCUACCUUUAACUGGGGUAUAGCUCAGAGAAAUCUGAAUUAAUCCCCCAUAAGACUACGACAUGGCAUCAUGAUGUAGUUAAAGCUCCGGCGGUUAAGGAUGGGCGUGCGGUACAUUAGCUAGUUGGUGAGGUAAUGGCUCACCAAGGCUACGAUGUAUAGGGGGUCUGAGAGGAUGCGCCCCCACACUGGUACUGAGACACGGACCAGACUCCUACGGGAGGCAGCAGUAGGGAAUAUUGGUCAAUGGACGCAAGUCUGAACCAGCCAUGCCGCGUGAAGGAUGAAGGCCCUAUGGGUCGUAAACUUCUUUUAUUAGGGAAGAAAAAACGGGAUGCGUCCUGUACUGACGGUACUUAAUGAAUAAGGAUCGGCUAACUUCGUGCCAGCAGCCGCCGUAA
Molecule: ribosomal RNA, 498 nt
Filed under: uncultured bacterium
Lineage: Bacteria
Description: partial 16S ribosomal RNA
Rfam family: Bacterial small subunit ribosomal RNA
Source: RNAcentral